RNAcentral lists this long non-coding RNA (364 nucleotides) under Danio rerio (zebrafish). RNAcentral's name for it is "lncRNA (ENSDARG00000117682.1)". Lineage: Eukaryota; Metazoa; Chordata; Actinopteri; Cypriniformes; Danionidae. The record is from RNAcentral.
UCCUGUUCCGCCAGAUAAGCCUCACAGUAGACUGGACCAGCGGUGGGCUUGAGUGUCUGCUUGUGUUGAGAUUACCCUCUAAUGACACUUCAAAUCCCCCUCCAUGAGCCCGAGUGAUUUUCUUCCAGGUUUCAGUCCCUGGUGUGACGGACUGGAGGAGAUGGACACAUCUCUUAAUCACAGAGCGGUGGCCAAACAGAGGCUGCAGGAAGACAGACUCAUUAUCAACAAGCCCCCGUGUCCAGCGAGACCACCUCCAGAACCCGAGGGAAUUGAGCAAACACCCGGCCUGAUCCCUGCCUAGUUUACCGCCGGGACCAGAUGAAGCCCUUUAGCUAAUGAGACUCCCUCAUGGUUAGCUGCG